UACAGAGGUCCCAAGCGUUGUUCGGAUUCACUGGGCGUAAAGGGUGCGUAGGCGGUCGGGUAAGUCUGAUGUGAAAUCUCACAGCUUAACUGUGAAACUGCAUUGGAUACUAUCCGGCUCGAGGAAUGGAGGGGAGACUGGAAUACUUGGUGUAGCAGUGAAAUGCGCAGAUAUCAGGAGGAACACCGGUGGCGAAGGCGGGUCUCUGGGCCGAUACUGACGCUGAGGAGCGAAAGCGUGGGGAGCGAACAGG
This 253-nucleotide ribosomal RNA is filed under the name uncultured bacterium. RNAcentral's name for it is "partial 16S ribosomal RNA". It matches the Rfam family "Bacterial small subunit ribosomal RNA", at positions 524 to 776 of the family's 1533-position model. The record is from RNAcentral.